This is a long non-coding RNA of Trifolium pratense (red clover), 1885 nucleotides long. RefSeq lists it as uncharacterized. Lineage: Eukaryota; Viridiplantae; Streptophyta; Magnoliopsida; Fabales; Fabaceae. The record is from RefSeq and is a predicted model, not a curated record. The transcript is spliced from 6 exons.
UCAUAGAUAGGAUAGCGCUUCUUCAUAAGUGCUAUUAUAGGUUCUUUCACAAAAAAUAAAAAACUAAAAACGCUGAAAUUAAAAAGGUAAACACACCGUUCACUCACCGUUUUUCUCCAUCGUUCCUCACUCUCAAUCACUCCUCACUCUCCAUCGGUUAACUCACCGUCUUCUCCAUCAUUCUGACGAACUCGCCGUCUUUUUCGACGAACUCCCGUCUUCUCCGACGAAAUCAACCCUUCUAUCCAUUGUUCACCAUCAAUUGAACCCUAAAACCUUCUUCUCUCCAUCAUUCCCAAAACUUGUUAAACCCUAAAUCCCAAAUUGAACCCAUCAAUUAGAAGAUUCAUAAUUGGCCUUUUCUUUUUGUAAUCAGUUUGUUCAUCAAAUCAAAGAAGAAAUAUGUGCCGCCUUUCCUCUAAUCUUCGAUUCACAAAAUCAAGUUGAUUCGAUUCUUAAUUAGUUCGACUCAUUCCCUUUUGUUCGAUUCUCCCAUUCAGUUUCUCUGUGUUCCCUUUCGUCAGCCAUUCCGUUUCGUCAAUCAAAAGCUUCAGUUCAGGUCUCUUCGCAGCAUUCAUUCAGGUCAUUCUUCUUUGCUUCAGUCCUGCUUUCCUAUUUGCUACCUUUGGUACUGUUAGCCUUAGAGUUCCGCCACAUCGUCGUAUCGCUGCUGAAAUCGACACAAUCAGGUAUGCUAUCUAUAUGUGGGUUUUGAAUUGGUGUAAAUUCUUUUCAACUAGUUUGCUUUUAGAUUAUUUAUGUUAGUGGUGUGGACCAAAUUCAAAUUGGUUGGUUAGUUUACAUAGUGAGUGAUAGGCAAUAAGCACAGUACACAACUUAGCAAGUAGAUGGUUAGGCUUUGCAACCUUAGUGCUUACUACGUACAUCUUAAUGUUAGGAAAUAAUGCUCAAUCUGAAUGUAGUGGUGACAUGAUUGAGAUUAAGUUCCAUGUAGAAAUUUUGUUGAAAAUGAUGGGCCAAAUAACCCACCAUCAGAACCUUGGUGACAUGACUGUGAUAUUGUUGAUUUAAUAUAAGUAUGUGGUUUAGAAAUUCGAUAGCACUGAUUUCUAGUAAAAUGACAUAAGGAUUAUAUUUGUUUAGUCCAAAUUUGAGUUCGUUCCUCCUAUAAAUGACACAAUAAGGAAAAUGUUGAAAUCUGAGAUUAAUGACAAGUAGGACAAUGGAAGACCAAUUUAAAAUCAAAGGUAUAUGACCCAAGUAAAACGGAAGAAGAGAAUGCAUCCGUUAAACCAGACUGCAGGGUUGAUCUAGGUCAAUGGAGACGAUUGGUUCAACAUUGGUUUUCUGAAAAAGGACAAAAAAUAAGUAAAAUUAAUAGACAGCAUCGUGCUAAGUUUGAAGAUGUUCAUUGUUUGGGUACAAAAAGUCUCCCAAAGUUUAUUGAUGAAAAGAAAAAAAAAUGUCAAUGGAAGAUCACCCAAACGUAAAGAGAUUUACAUUGAAACCCACACCCAUAAAGAUGGUUCAUUUGUCAAUGACAAAGCUGCAAGAGUGAUCGUAAUCGUCUUUAGCAAGAAAUUAGCUUUAUAUUUGUUCCUGCAAUGAAAGGAGUUGUCAUGGGACUUCUUGGUAAUAUGAGAAUGGUGCUGGCUUGCGAGCAAUCCUAAGGCGUUCAAGUUGAUUAUUAGUUGUUUGCGCAUAAAUUCUUGUUCUGCAUAGGAUCAUUAAGUGUAGGGAUAGGUGAGUGAUUAUGGUUGAGGAGGUAUAACACCUUUGUGUAGGCCUUGGUGUUGUUAUUAUUUGUAUGUAUCAACAUAAGAUAGUUUUGGUGGGUGAGACUCUUAUGUAUUGAAUAUCUAUAUGUAUAUACAAAAUUGUAUUGUAUAUUAUUCAUGUUAUAUUGGAGAAGUACUUGAUAUUA